Molecule: ribosomal RNA, 326 nt
Filed under: uncultured Bacteroidota bacterium
Lineage: Bacteria; Pseudomonadati; Bacteroidota
Description: bacterial SSU rRNA
Rfam family: Bacterial small subunit ribosomal RNA
Source: RNAcentral
UACCUCAUAGUAUUAUUUAUAGGCAUCUAUAUUAUAAUUAAAACUUCGGUGGUUAAAGAUGAGCAUGCGUCCUAUUAGCUUGUUGGUAAGGUAAAAGCUUACCAAGGCUACGAUAGGUAGGGGGCCUGAGAGGGUGACCCCCCACACUGGUACUGAGACACGGACCAGACUCCUACGGGAGGCAGCAGUGAGGAAUAUUGCGCAAUGGAGGAAACUCUGACGCAGCCAUGCCGCGUGCAGGAUGAAUGCCCUAUGGGUUGUAAACUGCUUUUCUGCAAGAAGAAACCUUAGUACGGUACUAAGUUGACGGUACUGCAGGAAAAGCA